RNAcentral lists this long non-coding RNA (2191 nucleotides) under Daphnia magna. RNAcentral's name for it is "uncharacterized LOC116918384". The record is from RNAcentral. Lineage: Eukaryota; Metazoa; Arthropoda; Branchiopoda; Diplostraca; Daphniidae.
UGGAAAGAAAACGAGGGUAUGGUAGGCACCAUAGUAUUCCUUCCGUCCAAACAAAAUGAAAGGACAUAGACCCAUUUGCCUGCUAAAGAAACUAGACGCAUGACUGUAUAUGGAAUCAAAGAAUGUAUUUAGUUAAACAGGUUAAUCGUAUGCCAUUGAUAAAACGACGACUGAUUAACCUAUUUUACUUUUUAAAAAUGAGCAAGUAAUCCUAUGCCAUUGGUAAAACCCACGGCGACUGAUUAACCUACUUUAGUUUUUUUUUAAAUGAGCAGGUUAAUCGUAUGCCAUUGGUAAAAACCACAACGACUGAUUAACCUACUCGUACCUUUCCUUCUGUGAUGGAUUGAUUCGGUGUGGUGUGCAGCAAUGAAAAUAUUUCUGUUACGACGUAGUUCAUGACGCAAGUGAAGACUAACACUUGUCGUCACUAACAGAUGCUUCCACUUUUGUGCAAGCAAAGUAACGUUGCCCGAUAAAUUCUUCGUUGCCAGAUAAAUUCUUCGUUUUUUUUACACACGGCUGCUGCUGGCUCAUCUGUUGUCCUAGAUAGAUGCUGCCCCUCCUUGCGUGCUGUUAAGGGUUUUAAACAUUCAGCUCCUUAAAGACAUCAUUGCCGAAUCGAAAUUCCACUGAGACGACAAUCCAUCUGUAGAUAAAAAAGAAAAGUUUUUACACAGCAGUUUUGAUAGACGAUAACAAGUAAGGCUACACGCUAUUACUCAGAGGUUGGACGUAACUAAUUUUCCAAGUGGAAUUAGAUGGCUAUUAAAAUUAAAUAGCCUGUCAUUUCAUACAUACAAUUUACAUUAGCAUUCGCGACAGGAAAGGACGUGAAAAAAAACAAACCCACUUUCAUUUUUCAAUUUGAUUAAACAUGUCUAAUACUCUGUGAACGUCGUGUGUCAACUGACCAUAAAAUAUUGCAAUCAUUCCCAUUAACCGAUUAGUUUCGAAUGAAGAAAAGAAACAAAGGUAACCUAGCAGCCGUCUUGGAUUGCCCUUUCUAGUCAAACCAUAAUGGUCGUACGAGAAAGUCCGCUAUUACACGGGACACACAUCCAAUUACCUCCAACUAAAUGCUGGGCAUGGGCCAUUCGUCCGUUGUUAAUCUGGAACCGGAUUCUUGGCGUUGAACUGGCAGAGAUUUCACCUUUAGCCGGAAAGACCUUUCGGUGGCUUACAUUUGCAUACAGAGUUUUCUGUUUGUUGUUGCACGUCACUUGUCUUGCGGACAUUUUCUAUUUUUUGCACACCAUACGAAUGCAGGCCUCGCUUGAUCCGCCCCAAGGGCUAAUGGUUUUCAGCACAGAAACGGCUACGUGGAACUGAAUAAUCGAUUUCAUUAAUUAUGGUAUUCAUGCAAUUAGAACUCACGUUAUCUUGCUGACUGCCAUGCGACCACUCGAUCUGCUGGAAAGUUUCAAUCGAAUGAAACUCGUUGUAGCUGCAGACAAUUACAAUCGAAUUCGCAGAAUAUCUUCGUUGGGAAUCGUUUACAUCAUCUUGGUGGUGUCUGGGAUUCUUUUGUUGGUCACGGAUUAUCAUCUGCGCAGGAGAACUUCUUUUAACAAUCUUCAUCACUUCUAUUUCGACAUUAUCAGCCAUCUAUCCAAUGACUGCCUUGCUACUGUUUGUCGUUCACUGCUAUGCUUCGUCUCUUGCAUUCGAGCUGAUCCAGAUGGAAAUCGAGCGACGUGAAGUUCAGUUAUUAAACAGCCAGCACGAAGACGUCAGACAUUUCGUUUUUGCAGUAAAGCAAAGAUAUUUCCUGGCCUGUGAUACAGUCGAUAACAUUAACUAUAGUUUUGGUUGGAUACUGCUCCUAUCUACAACCUUUUAUUUUGUUGCCAUUAUCAAUUCGAGCUUUUACCUGUUUGGCAUGGAACUCAAAACGGCAACGAAUCUCUCCUUUUUGUUGUUUGCUUUGGUCCACCUGAUCUUAAUGUGUUCCUUUGCAGAUCGUGUUUCCAACAAGGCUGGAGAUGUUAUAAGACAAUUAUUAAAAUUUAAAUGGGCUGACACACCGUUAGCUGGCAAUCAAAUGGAAGUAACAACAAAAAGAAGAUUUGAUGCGGAAUUGAGACAAGUAGGGGAGACUGGAGUUAGCCGGGACGGUUUUCGUUUUCCCCCUAUAUCUCCCAAACUAAUCAUUAAAUUAAUUUAUUAUUUUGUUUUUAUGUAUUCCAUA